GGCCGUUCCGGUGGCCUAGUGGUUAGAGAACCCGCCUCGGACGCGGAAGGUAGCGGGUUCACACCCCGUCCGAGUCA
Molecule: non-coding RNA, 77 nt
Organism: Potamilus streckersoni
Lineage: Eukaryota; Metazoa; Mollusca; Bivalvia; Unionida; Unionidae
Source: the annotation of a GenBank genome assembly